GCUUGAUGGGGAUGGCAUUGAAUCUAUGAAUUACCUUGGGCAGACUAUACAGCACCCUUCUUCAUCACAGGCCUUAAUCUGCAAUUGGCUGGCCAAGAGAUUGAGCUCUUCUAACUCACUUGCACAAUGAUAAUGUGCAAAUUUCAUUUUGUGCCAUUUGUCCUCUUCCAAAACACUUUUAUUUUGGCAGAGAAAUGAGCACAUUUAUGUAUUCAGCCUUACAUUUGUCUAUUUAUUGAUUCGUAUAUUUAUUGCACAUUUAUUAAAACUGACAUGUAAAGAUACAUCAUAUCGGUCAUCUUUGCUAUAUGAUUUAGGUCUCUGCUAAUUCUGUUUCAGCUGUUGGAUACAUUUCCAAAAUAGCCCUGAGAUAAAUGCAUACUUUAUUUCAUUAAAAUAUAUACUUAUUUGUUUUUUAAUGGGUGGUAUAUUCACAUGGCUCAAUAGUCCAAAGAUAGAAAAGUGUAUACAAUGAAACCUUUCAUUUGUAUCUCUGUCUUCAAGCUACUCAGUUCCCCUCCCUACUGAUCAGUCCUGCUAGCAGUUUCAUAUGUAUUCUUAUGGAGAUAUUUUAUCCAUACAAAAGCAAACUCAUAUAUAAUAUAAUUUUUCUGUUUUUUACCCAAAUGAUAGUGUACUAUACACACCAUUCUGUACCUUGUUUUUAUUCUGAGUUUAUCAAGGAGAUGAUUCCAUAUCAGUACAUAAAAGUUCUUACUCUUUUUGUAGUGGCAUAGUAUUCUGUCAUGUGCAUGCCUCAUAAUUGACUUAAUCCUUAUGGGUGUAUGUCUGGAUGUCUGCAUUAUUUCCAGUAUUUUGUCAUCAUAAAUGACGCUUCUCCAUAAGUUACUUUGCACAUAUGCAAGUCUAUCUGUAGAAUACAUUGUUAGAAGUGGAUCUUUUUGUCAUUUUAUACAUUUAUAAUAUUGCCACAUGUCUGAUUUUUUGGAUAGGGCACGGGAUUAUAAAGAUAUCAGUCCUCCAUAAAUGAAUGAAAGAUUCAACGUGAUCACAACCAAAAUACCGAUAGCAUCAAUUUCUGGAGCUUUAAGUUAGCUCAUGAUGCACCUCUGCUCAACAAUGGCUUUUCACCUUGCUCGGAGAAACAGUCCAAGUUUUUACAUUUGCCUGUGAGGCCCUCCUGGAUGUCACUCCCUGUUACUUCUCUGCCCUCACGUUCUUCUCACUCACUUUACUCCAGGUGGAAUGUAAGCACCCUGUGGACCGGGAUCUUCCCUUUUCUGUUCACUGCUGUAUCCUAAGUGCUUAGCCCUGCUGCCUGGUACUUCAUAGGUGCUCAGUCAACAUUUACAGAUUUAAAUAAACCUGUGAGAAUGGCUAGGGAGCUCUGGGGGAAAGUGAUUAAUGGGUAAAGAGUGGUUAUUAGCUUGACCAGCUAGUAAAAUAUGUUAUAAAGUAACAUAGUUUGGUUUCUGGACCAAGAAUAAAUUGAGUAGAAAAAAAUAGAACAAAGAGUUCAUAAAUAGACCCAAAUCCAUAUGAUAAUUUAAAAUAUAAUGCAAGUCACGUAUCAAAUCUAAACAGAUGGGUUAUCCAAUAAAUAGCUUUGGAAUACCUCUCUAGUUAUAUGGAGAAAAACAAAAUGAAGUCACUACAUCUCUCCUUAAAUAGAAGGACCAAUAAUAUACAUGUAAAAAAAUAGGC
This 1665-nucleotide long non-coding RNA is filed under the name Homo sapiens (human). RNAcentral describes it as "HSALNT0280406". Lineage: Eukaryota; Metazoa; Chordata; Mammalia; Primates; Hominidae. The record is from RNAcentral.